UGAUCAAAAGGGGGAAAAUGUGGGUUUUUUAAAACAUGGCUGCCCUCCAUUUAGUGGAAAAGAACAACUACUUUGUAUAUAUCACAGCAGAUGGUGAGGACAGGAGCCCCCUUGAGGACUGCCCAGAUCACAGGCUCAAUGCAUGAAGGCUGGAGCUGAGGGUGACCUGAACAGAAUUCUCUAGGCAUAGUUAAUAUGCUGGCAAGGUUGGGCCUAGGGAUAAGACUGAGAUCCAGCUGAAUGAGGGGGAGAGAAUUUUCAGAUCUCUCCCUUCCACCUGUGCUGUAUCUUUCUCUCAUGCUGCUUUAGAAGAUCCCCAACCCUCCACAUUGAACUGGGGGAACUCAUGAGGCUGCAGGGUAAGGGGAAAUUGGUGAAAGUCUCAUCACCUUUAAUAAGUUCAGCUGCAAUGUUGUUUUGGCCAUGAAACAAUAGUGAAAGAGUCCAGCCUGAUUCUGUCAAGUUCGAACCUGCUCCCAACAGAUAACUCUUAUACCUUGGUCAUGCUUGUUAAAUGUGUACCAACCACUAAAUGGAUCAUUACCUUGAAUAAUCUUAAACUCCAUUGCUCCACAAGUAAUGCAAAUCGCCAUGCAUUUAAUCUUUGGGGCUCAUGCUGGAGAGGUGCCUCUUAUGUGCAAAUGAGAGAAGGGGGUACACAGAUUUAGUAUGCAUGAGUAUGUGUUUUAAUGGCUUGUAGACAUUGCUGUAUGAGCUUAUGUGGCAUCUUUAAGGCUCAGAGGCCCUCUAGGCUUUCUGUUUUCUCUUGGGCAUAUGCCUAUGAAGCCUACAAAAUCCAGAGCUUUUCUGUUAUGUUGAAAGGGGAUUUUCAUGCCUGGGAAAAGCAGUUUUGCCAAAAAACGUUCUUAAUCUAAGCAGCUCUGGCCAAAAGCCAAAAAUGUGCCAUCUUUGUUUAAGUGUGAAUUGUCACACUGCUCUAUUUUAAUCUUGCGCAACACAGCCACUAUAAGUUGCAUUUCUCUCAUAUCCAAUUUGAAGAUAAACUCCAGGUGCUGAAAGUAAUGCCUCUUCCCCACCCACCCCGUUUCCAAAUCAUGAACCAGAAUAAUCAAAAGAAGGUCUGUUUACUGUACUAUAGCUUGGCCCAUGGCACUGUGGUCCAGAAGGCACACAGAUUGCUCCCAGCCUCUCUUGAAACUUCAUUUAUGUGCCUGGCUGAUAGACAGAUGAAAGGCAGGCUACUCAGCAUGCGGAUGAUAUUCCAGGUUAGUUUACAGCUGAGAAAUGAUAGGGCUUUUUUCCCCUUGACUGGCUAGAAAGUUUUCAUCUUAUCAAUAAAAAAAAAGCUUCUUUAAAAAAGAGCUUCAAAAGACUUACACAAAAUAGCUGCCAAAUGUAUGCUGCAGCUUUUUUCUUUUCUUUUUUUAAACCCAGACACUAGCAAAUAAGAUUUCUAAGAAGCUUCAUUUAAGAACUAUUUUGGGUGGGGCAGGACUUGGGGGACAGACCUUGGGUCAUGUUAACAGCCUUAAUGCUGAAGACAGUGUUACACCAGUUGGCUUGUAUGAUUUAUGCACAGUAUGAUGUUUAAAAGAUAAUUUUUGUAAGCCAUGCUGAAGGAACAUGUGAAUUUUAUGUUUUCCUCCAUUUUUUUUUUUAAAAAAAUCUGUGUUCCAUUAAAGAUAAUGCUGUCUAUGUAUGCAUGUACACAGCUGGCAACUGCACAGUGAGAAAUUCUCAGACGAUG
Molecule: long non-coding RNA, 1708 nt
Organism: Rhineura floridana
Lineage: Eukaryota; Metazoa; Chordata; Lepidosauria; Squamata; Rhineuridae
Exons: 3
Source: RefSeq, a predicted model, not a curated record